GACGAACGCUGGCGGCGUGCUUAACACAUGCGAGUCGAACGGAAAGGCCCUGCUUUUGUGGGGUGCUCGAGUGGCGAACGGGUGAGUAACACGUGAGUAACCUGCCCUUGACUUUGGGAUAACCUCAGGAAACUGGGGCUAAUACCGGAUAGGAGCUCCUGCUGCAUGGUGGGGGUUGGAAAGUUUCGGCGGUUGGGGAUGGACUCGCGGCUUAUCAGCUUGUUGGUGGGGUAGUGGCUUACCAAGGCUUUGACGGGUAGCCGGCCUGAGAGGGUGACCGGCCACAUUGGGACUGAGAGACGGCCCAGACUCCUACGGGAGGCAGCAGGGGGGAAUAUUGCACAAUGGGCGGAAGCCUGAUGCAGCAACGCCGCGUGCGGGAUGACGGCCUUCGGGUUGUAAACCGCUUUCGCCUGUGACGAAGCGUGAGUGACGGUAAUGGGUAAAGAAGCACCGGCUAACUACGUG
This 468-nucleotide ribosomal RNA is filed under the name uncultured bacterium. Its description in RNAcentral is "partial 16S ribosomal RNA". It matches the Rfam family "Bacterial small subunit ribosomal RNA", at positions 28 to 507 of the family's 1533-position model. The record is from RNAcentral.